Molecule: ribosomal RNA, 514 nt
Filed under: uncultured Bacteroidales bacterium
Lineage: Bacteria; Pseudomonadati; Bacteroidota; Bacteroidia; Bacteroidales
Description: bacterial SSU rRNA
Rfam family: Bacterial small subunit ribosomal RNA
Source: RNAcentral
CAGGAUGAACGCCAGCUAUAGGCUUAACACAUGCAAGUCGAGGGGCAGCGAAUAGAUAGCUUGCUAUUUAUGUCGGCGACCGGCGCACGGGUGAGUAACGCGUAUCCAACCUGCCCAUAACUAAGGGAUAACCCAGCGAAAGUUGGACUAAUACCUUAUGUAUUCGUUUGAUCUCAUGAGAUUGCGAAUAAAGAUUUAUCGGUUAUGGAUGGGGAUGCGUCUGAUUAGCUUGUUGGCGGGGUAACGGCCCACCAAGGCAACGAUCAGUAGGGGUUCUGAGAGGAAGGUCCCCCACAUUGGAACUGAGACACGGUCCAAACUCCUACGGGAGGCAGCAGUGAGGAAUAUUGGUCAAUGGACGCAAGUCUGAACCAGCCAAGUAGCGUGCAGGAUGACGGCCCUAUGGGUUGUAAACUGCUUUUAUAUGGGGAUAAAGUGGGGAACGUGUUCUCUUUUGCAGGUACCAUAUGAAUAAGGACCGGCUAAUUCCGUGCCAGCCGCCGCGGUAAAAGGG